AGAGUUUGAUCCUGGCUCAGAUUGAACGCUGGCGGCAUGCUUUACACAUGCAAGUCGAACGGCAGCGGGGGCUUCGGCCUGCCGGCGAGUGGCGAACGGGUGAGUAAUGCAUCGGAACGUGCCCAUGUCGUGGGGGAUAACGUAUCGAAAGGUACGCUAAUACCGCAUACGUCCUGAGGGAGAAAGCGGGGGAUCGCAAGACCUCGCGCGAUUGGAGCGGCCGAUGUCGGAUUAGCUAGUAGGUGAGGUAAAGGCUCACCUAGGCGACGAUCCGUAGCGGGUCUGAGAGGAUGAUCCGCCACACUGGGACUGAGACACGGCCCAGACUCCUACGGGAGGCAGCAGUGGGGAAUUUUGGACAAUGGGGGCAACCCUGAUCCAGCCAUGCCGCGUGAGUGAAGAAGGCCUUCGGGUUGUAAAGCUCUUUCGGCCGGGAAGAAAUCGUGGUCUCUAACAUAGGCCAUGGAUGACGGUACCGGACUAAGAAGCACCGGCUAACUACGUGCCAGCCGCCGCGGUAAUAC
RNAcentral lists this ribosomal RNA (524 nucleotides) under uncultured Thauera sp. RNAcentral describes it as "bacterial SSU rRNA". It matches the Rfam family "Bacterial small subunit ribosomal RNA", at positions 8 to 526 of the family's 1533-position model. Lineage: Bacteria; Pseudomonadati; Pseudomonadota; Betaproteobacteria; Rhodocyclales; Zoogloeaceae. The record is from RNAcentral.